Molecule: ribosomal RNA, 557 nt
Filed under: uncultured archaeon
Lineage: Archaea
Description: bacterial SSU rRNA
Rfam family: Archaeal small subunit ribosomal RNA
Source: RNAcentral
CCCUACGGGGUGCAGCAGGCGCGAAAACUUCACACUGUGCGAAAGCGCGAUGAGGGAAUCCCAAGUGUUUGCUCGUAAGAGUAAACUGUUUCUUUGUUUAAAACGCAGAGAGAGUAAGGGCUGGGUAAGACGGGUGCCAGCCGCCGCGGUAAUACCUGCAGCUCAAGUGGUGAUCAUUAUUAUUGGGCCUAAAACGUCCGUAGCCGGUUUAGUAAAUGUCUGGGUAAAUCGUGUAGCUUAACUAUACGAAUUCCGGGUAGACUGCUAAACUUGAGACCGGGAGAGGCUAGAGGUACUCCUGGGGUAGAGGUGAAAUUCUGUAAUCCUAGGGGGACCACCAGUGGCGAAGGCGUCUAGCUAGAACGGGUCUGACGGUGAGGGACGAAGCCCUGGGGCACAAACCGGAUUAGAUACCCGGGUAGUCCAGGGUGUAAACGCUGCUUGCUUGAUGUUAGUUGGGCUCCGAGCCCAACUAGUGUCGGAGAGAAGUUGUUAAGCAAGCUGCCUGGGAAGUACGGUCGCAAGGCUGAAACUUAAAGGAAUUGGCGGGGGAGCAC